UGGGGAAUUUUGGACAAUGGGCGAAAGCCUGAUCCAGCAAUGCCGCGUGUGUGAAGAAGGCCUUCGGGUUGUAAAGCACUUUUGUCCGGAAAGAAAUCCUUGGCUCUAAUACAGUCGGGGGGAUGACGGUACCGGAAGAAUAAGCACCGGCUAACUACGUGCCAGCAGCCGCGGUAAUACGUAGGGUGCAAGCGUUAAUCGGAAUUACUGGGCGUAAAGCGUGCGCAGGCGGUUUGCUAAGACCGAUGUGAAAUCCCCGGGCUCAACCUGGGAACUGCAUUGGUGACUGGCAGGCUAGAGUAUGGCAGAGGGGGGUAGAAUUCCACGUGUAGCAGUGAAAUGCGUAGAGAUGUGGAGGAAUACCGAUGGCGAAGGCAGCCCCCCUGGGCCAAUACUGACGCUCAUGCACGAAAGCGUGGGGAGCAAACAGGAUUAGAUACCCUGGUAGUCCACGCCCUAAACGAUGUCAACUAGUUGUUGGGGAUUCAUUUCCUAGUAACGUAGCUAACGCGUGAAGUUGACCGCCU
RNAcentral lists this ribosomal RNA (527 nucleotides) under uncultured bacterium. Its description in RNAcentral is "partial 16S ribosomal RNA". It matches the Rfam family "Bacterial small subunit ribosomal RNA", at positions 355 to 874 of the family's 1533-position model. The record is from RNAcentral.